Long non-coding RNA from Cynoglossus semilaevis (tongue sole), 864 nucleotides. RefSeq lists it as uncharacterized. The record is from RefSeq and is a predicted model, not a curated record. Lineage: Eukaryota; Metazoa; Chordata; Actinopteri; Pleuronectiformes; Cynoglossidae. The transcript has 6 exons.
ACUUCAGUGUCUACUCUCUGCUGCCCUGCAGUGCGUUCACGUUAGGCUCCAGCAGCUCAUCACUCUGAUGGACCGACUGUUUGAUAACAUCAGUGUAUCACUGUUGGUCAGAGGAAAAGUUUCGAAGGUGUCGAGUGUGGGAGGAGAGAGGAAGCGAGAGAUCUGUGCAGCAGUCAGAGGAGGCCGUCAUCCGGCACAUGAACACAAACAAACACCUCAGGCUCUGAAGUACAAGCGUGUGACAUGAUCGUCUGUUAACCCCCUGGUGAAUCAGAGUCUUCAAAAAGCCACUGCACGGAGUUUCCCGGCCUGCUCAGCGGCCCCUCCAGGCAGGAUCUUGGAGAAUACGUUGUCUCCCUCCAUGCCAGGCUGACCUGCUGCAGCACUGCCAAUACCUCCAGGCCUAGGAACUGCCUUGGAUCCUGGAGAAAAAACACUGUAUGGUGAUCUCCAUUUACCUGGUGGUUGAACCUGCAUGUCUGCGGGUUGUUGAGAUUUGCUGCGUGAGGAUCUGUGUGGGUCUCCCUGCCUGGAGGACCUCUGUCCAUGAUGGUGCCCAGAUGGAUCCCGCAAGUAGUCGGAAGAAUGAUGACCUUGAGGACCUUGGCUCAUCAGAAUGGCGUGAUGAAGAGGAGUGACGGCUAGUGCUGCCAUGGUGACGGUGAUCACGGGAUGAAGAGUGCCGUCCUGCAUGGCCAUAGUCAUCCUGAGGCCACAAGUCUUCUUCAGGGGGCUCAUCAUAAUCAUGACGUGUGUCCUGGGAAGGUCCCGUAUGUGGUCUUGAACAUCUGGCAGCGAGUGACUGGAACCAUAUUGGCCAUAAUAGUAAUGAUAUUUAUUGCUGCGACUAUCGUACGGGUGGGG